GGCGCGCAACUGCUGCGCCCCACCGCGCGGCGAGGCUGCCACUCAGGAAACAAUAUAAAUAAAACCACGUGCAGCUGCGGCCCGGGAGGCAGCGCGGAGCCCCCGGCUGGCCGCAGCGCGGACAAUGGCGUGACCAGGGCGAGUGGACAGCGGCCCCGUGGAGGCUCGGCCUCGGCGGAGGAGCGCUCGGAGCGCGCAUCCCGGGGGAACCCCGGCCGGCGGCACCACCCGGGGCAUCCCUGCCCGUCCCCCGCCCUCUCCCCGCGCACGGUCGCGCACACUCGCCCCGGGAGCGCGCCCACCUGGAAGCGAGCCGAGCGGCGGCAGCAGCAGCAACAGCAGCAGCAGCAGCAGGGGCGGCAUCCCCGGGCGCACGGGAGGCGCCAUUCAGCGGGGCUGCGCGGGCAUGCUCCCGGGCCGUUCGCCCGCUGCUCCCGCUGCUCUCCUGGACCCGCGGCUCCCGCUGCAACCCGCUGCUCCUCCGGCGUGGCGAGGCGACGCGCCGCUUGCAGGCGCACGGACCCCCGCGCGCGCGCGCCAGGCCGCGGGGACCACGCGCGUCGCGUCCAGCCCGGGGCGGAGGGAGGCUGCAGAGGGCGGCGCAGUGGACAGCCUGGCCGGCCGCGGACUACUUUCUACAUCUGGCCCCUGGGCCCCGCACGGCGAGGCUCUCACUUUGUAGCCUAGAGGAACCUGGACCUCACUUGUGUGUGGUCCAGGCUGGGAUGGAACAGGCGUGAGCCAGGAUUCCCUGACCGACCAGUUACAGCCAGGAGCCUUAAUGACUUGGGACGUGGUGCUGCCUUGGGGAAGGGUAUUUGCCUUGAAACAAAAUGAAGGAAGAAGACUUAGUACAUUAAACAGCCCGAUGAAGCAAGCCUAACGUGUUUACUGCACCACGAUGGACAGGAGGGUCUUCUACAGCAGAGACCAGCCUUGAACUCCUGCUCUUCCUGCCUUCACCUCCAAGGGCUGCGGUUACAGGCAGCUUUGCUUUUGAAGAGUUCCUUUCCAGGGGUCAAAUCUGAUUGACUUGGAGCCGGCUCUGACACCCUCCUCGAGCAGUGCCUGCGGGGCCCGGAAGGGACACUGUGGAGGGCUCUUCAAGCCCACCCACCCGAACAUGACCCGUGGAUUCAGUCUCUGCAGAGCAUCACGGCCCACAGACAGGAAGCAGCAGAACGUGGACUUCUCAGCUAGCUGCUGAGCUUCCCUGUGUGGUCGGGAGAGCCGGGGGAGCAUGGGGCCACAGGGCUGGACCCUCACUUCGGAAGCUGCUUCUGGGCAAGCCCAUGGGCUACCAUCAGAAACCCUGAAGUGAGGGCUGGAGAGAUGGCUCAGGGGUGAAGACCACUGCUCUUCCAAAGGACCCGGGUUCAGAUUCAAGCACCCACAUGGCAGUUUACAGCUGUCUAUAGUUACAGUUCCUGGGGAUCUGAUAUCCUCACACAUCCAAACAUGGAGGCAUUCCGCCAAAAUUAAGAAGAAAUUCUGAAAUAAGUUAUUGUGAGCAUGGGUUGAACAUCUAUGGGUGCUGUGAGAGAGUAUGGGGGUUCCCCAAACAUCGUGUCAGGCACCAUCGCACACUUCUGUAAGGCCAGGACUAGGAAAGCCGAGGCAGGAUGAAGUCAACCUGGAAUAUAUAACGUGACUCUGGGAAACAAAGCAAAACAAAACAUAAAAAUAAUUUAAACGGCAUUUGUUUGUUUGUUUGUUUCUUUAUUUGUGGGGUGUGCCUGCCAUUGCACACAGUUGGACGUCAGAGGACAGACAACUUUCAGGAACUGAUUCUCCCUGCCGCUGUAUGGGUCCCUGGGAUUGAACUGGGGUGUUCAACUAAGUGACAGGUGCUUUUACCCACUGAGCCAUCUUGCUAGCCCCAAACAAUAGCUUUGUUUUCAAGA
Long non-coding RNA from Meriones unguiculatus (Mongolian gerbil), 1904 nucleotides. RefSeq lists it as uncharacterized. The record is from RefSeq and is a predicted model, not a curated record. The transcript is spliced from 6 exons. NCBI's taxonomy places the organism in Eukaryota, Metazoa, Chordata, Mammalia, Rodentia, Muridae.